RNAcentral lists this transfer RNA (71 nucleotides) under Marmota monax (woodchuck). RNAcentral's name for it is "tRNA.Thr". It matches the Rfam family "tRNA". From Rfam's summary of the family: Transfer RNA (tRNA) molecules are approximately 80 nucleotides in length. The record is from RNAcentral. Lineage: Eukaryota; Metazoa; Chordata; Mammalia; Rodentia; Sciuridae.
GGGGUUGUGGCUCAGUGAUAGAGUGCUUGCCUAGUACGUAUGAGGCACUGGGUUCAAUCCUCAGCACCACA